GGCUGCUUUCAUGGAUGGGGAACUGAUCGUGACGGUGCCCGAGGGAGAUGAAGUGGAGGUUGAAGAAGGGAACGGUAAUAAUAAUAAUCGCGGCGGUGGGGGAAGAAGGAAGGUGUGGCCUUGUGGGAGCGGCAGGGGCCGAAUCUGUCGGAGAGAUUCAGACAGAGAGUGGAAGGAGGAGAUAGAAGAAGGAUGGAAAAG
RNAcentral lists this long non-coding RNA (201 nucleotides) under Linum usitatissimum (flax). Its description in RNAcentral is "long non-coding RNA (LUSI_LNC006187)". Lineage: Eukaryota; Viridiplantae; Streptophyta; Magnoliopsida; Malpighiales; Linaceae. The record is from RNAcentral.